This 108-nucleotide transfer RNA is filed under the name Sulfodiicoccus acidiphilus. It matches the Rfam family "tRNA". From Rfam's summary of the family: Transfer RNA (tRNA) molecules are approximately 80 nucleotides in length. Their secondary structure includes four short double-helical elements and three loops (D, anti-codon, and T loops). Lineage: Archaea; Thermoproteati; Thermoproteota; Thermoprotei; Sulfolobales; Sulfolobaceae. The record is from Rfam by way of RNAcentral.
GCCGGGGUGCCCGAGUGGUCAAGGGGGUGGGCUCGAGACCUAAUUUCCAGCUGGGAGAGGGACCCACUGCUCUUCAAGAGCGCGCGGGUUCGAAUCCCGCCCCCGGCG